UUAAAGUUUAAUUUUAGCUUAUUAAUUAUUAAUAAUUUAAUUUAUAUGUAAAUUUAUAUAUUAAUUAUUAUUUAUUUUAAAAAUUAAUAAUUUAGUUUUAUUUGCAAUAAUAAAUAUUAUUAAUUAAUGAAAUUUAGAAAUAGUAAUAUUAAAAAGUAUUAGUAAAUUUUGUGCCAGCAACUGCGGUUACACAAAUAAUGCAGAUAAUUAAUUUUAGUUAAAGUUAAAUUAAUUUAAAGUAAAUAAAAAUAUAAUUAUAAGGUGAAAUUUUAAUUUUAUAAAAUUUAAUUAAAAAAAAAAUUGAAGCUUAAAAAUUUUUUAAAAAACUAGGAUUAGAUACCCUAUUAUAUUAAAUUUAAAUAGUUAAUUAAGGUAGUAAUAGUUAUAAUCUUGAAACUUAAAAAAUUUGGCGGUAUUUUAGUCUAUUCAGAGGAACUUGUUUUAUAAUUGAUAAUCCCCAUUGGACCUUUCUUAAUUUUGUUAUCAAUUUAUAUACCGUUGUUAUUAGAAUAUUUUUAUAAAAUGUUAAUAUUUUAAAUUUUUUUUUAAAAAAAGUAUAUCAAAUCAAGGUGUAGUUUAUAAUUAAGAAAAAAUGAGUUACAAUAAAAUUAUUUAAAUGAAUUUAAAUAUGAAAAAGUUAUUGAAAGUGGAUUUGAAAGUAAAAUUAUAAAGAUAAAUAAUUUGAUUUUUAGCUCUAAAAUAUGUACAUAUCGCCCGUCACUCUUGUUAUUAAAAUAAGAUAAGUCGUAACAUAGUAGAUGUACUGGAAAGUGUAUCUAGAGUACA
This 786-nucleotide non-coding RNA is filed under the name Thelaira macropus. Lineage: Eukaryota; Metazoa; Arthropoda; Insecta; Diptera; Tachinidae. The record is from RNAcentral.